GGAGAGGGCAGCAGAAUUCACGGUGUAGCAGUGAAAUGCGUAGAUAUCGUGAGGAAUACCAGAGGCGAAGGCGGCUACCUGGACAAUUGCUGACGCUCAGGCACGAAGGCGUGGGGAGCAAAAGGGAUUAGAUACCCCNGUAGUCCACGCCCUAAACGGUGCACACUAGGUCUNGGCGGAUUCGACCCCUCCAGGGCCCAAGCUAACGCGUUAAGUGUGCCGCCUGAGGACUACGGCCGCAAGGCUAAAACUCAAAGGAAUUGACGGGGGCCCGCACAAGCGGUGGAGUAUGUGGCUCAAUUCGAUGCAACGCGAAGAACCUUACCUGGCCUUGACAUGCAGGAGACAGGUGCUGAAAGGCACCCUUCCUUCGGGACUGCUGCACAGGUGCUGCAUGGCNGUCGUCAGCUCGUGUCGUGAGAUGUUGCGUUAAGUCGCGCAACGAGCGCAACCCCUGUCCUUAGUUGCCAUCAUUAAGUUGGGCACUCUAGGGAGACAAACCCUCUUUGAGGGUGGGAAGGUGGGGAUGACGUCAAGUCAGGAUGGCCCUUACGGCCAGGGCUGCACACGUACUACAAUGCCCAGCACAAUGUGAACCGAUACCGUAAGGUGGAGGAAAUCCUGAAAACUGGGCUCAGUUCGGAUUGGGGGCUGCANCUCNCCNCCAUGAAGUCGGAAUCGCUAGUAAUGGCACAUCAGCU
RNAcentral lists this ribosomal RNA (701 nucleotides) under uncultured Opitutus sp. RNAcentral describes it as "bacterial SSU rRNA". It matches the Rfam family "Bacterial small subunit ribosomal RNA", at positions 651 to 1354 of the family's 1533-position model. The record is from RNAcentral. Lineage: Bacteria; Pseudomonadati; Verrucomicrobiota; Opitutia; Opitutales; Opitutaceae.